Ursus americanus (American black bear) is the source of this 107-nucleotide small nuclear RNA. The record is from Ensembl. Lineage: Eukaryota; Metazoa; Chordata; Mammalia; Carnivora; Ursidae.
GUGUUUUCUUUGGCAGUACAUAUACUAAUAUCGAAACAAUAUAGAGAAGAUUAGCAUGGCCCCUGUGCAAGGAUGACACACAAAUUCACAAAGUGUUCCAUAUUUUU